AAGAAAGAAAGAAAGAAAGCUUUCCAAUGGCACCUUGAGGAAUCCCUCAAGGUGGUUCUGAUGGAAGCACUCAGUGAUGAACACACCUACAUUCUGGAUGCAGGACAAAGAAGGACAGCUGAGAAACUUCUCAAGAUGAUGGCAGAACAUUGGUCAUCUCCAUAAAUCAAAGGGAUGUUGAAACUUUGAAGGGUCACUAAGAAAAGUUUCAUAAGUCAAGGAUUAUCCUGUACUUCCACCAGAGAACUAGCUAAGAUAAUGUUUUUUGGGGAAAAGAAUAAAAAUUCACCAAGACCAGCCUUCAGUUUCUAAUCCAGAUGUUUUUCAGCAGACUAUCGUUGGGAAUGAAACCUUACACAUUGACUUGCCCAGUAGAUAUCAAAGUAGAUAUCAAAAGGUAUAUGAUUUCUAUCUCUGAAGCUAGAAAUUUAACUGACAUGGCCAUUAGUUGUUAAUAUGCCUAAUCUCUGUUAAUUUGUCUAAAUAUCUUCUUAAAGACACCCAAGCAAGUGACAAUUAGCUUGAAGAAAGAAUCAUCUUCUCUGCCCUGUCUCUACCGCCAAUUAAUUUAAUUCUAAGGUCCAGAGCAGGAGUGGGCAAACUGUACUCAUGAGGUGCUUUU
Molecule: non-coding RNA, 622 nt
Organism: Notechis scutatus (mainland tiger snake)
Lineage: Eukaryota; Metazoa; Chordata; Lepidosauria; Squamata; Elapidae
Source: RefSeq, a predicted model, not a curated record